This 1830-nucleotide ribosomal RNA is filed under the name metagenome. RNAcentral's name for it is "bacterial LSU rRNA". It matches the Rfam family "Bacterial large subunit ribosomal RNA", at positions 1101 to 2925 of the family's 2925-position model. The record is from RNAcentral.
UUGGCUUAGAAGCAGCCAUCCUUCAAAGAAAGCGUAAUAGCUCACUGGUCGAGUCCUUCUGCGCGGAAGAUGUAACGGGGCUAAGCUGUUAACCGAAGCCGCGGAUGCACUGGUUAUCCAGUGCGUGGUAGGGGAGCGUUCUGUAAGUCUGCGAAGGCGGUUCGAGAGGACUGCUGGAGAUAUCAGAAGUGCGAAUGCUGACAUGAGUAACGUUAAAGCAGGUGAAAAGCCUGCUCGCCGUAAGCCCAAGGAUUCCUGCUCUACGUUCAUCGGAGCAGGGUGAGUCGGCUCCUAAGGUCAGGCCGAAAGGCGUAGCCGAUGGGAAUCAGGUUAAUAUUCCUGAACCUGCGUCAGAUGCGAUGGGGGGACGGAGCAUGGAAGAUCAUCCGGGUGUUGGAAGUCCCGGUUGUUGAGCGUAGGAGGUCUGCAGGCAAAUCCGCAGACGCAUCUCCAAGGCAAAGACACGUGCCGCCACGGCGGCGAAGUGAUCGGAAGUGCUUCCAAGAAAAGCCUCUAAGCCCCAGUCUGACGCGGACCGUACCGCAAACCGACACUGGUGGGCGAGCUGAAUAUGCUCAGGCGCUUGAGAGAACUCGGGAGAAGGAACUCGGCAAAUUGACACCGUAACUUCGGAAGAAGGUGUGCCGUAGUACCGUGAGAGGAGAGACACCUUGAGCGGGAAACGGUCUCAGAGAAUAGGUGGCUGCGACUGUUUAUUAAAAACACAGCACUCUGCAAAGUCGAAAGACGACGUAUAGGGUGUGAUGCCUGCCCGGUGCUGGAAGAUUAAUUGAUGGGGUGAGAGCCCUUGAUCGAAGUCCCAGUAAACGGCGGCCGUAACUAUAACGGUCCUAAGGUAGCGAAAUUCCUUGUCGGGUAAGUUCCGACCUGCACGAAUGGCAUAACGAUGGCCACACUGUCUCCUCCCGAGACUCAGUGAAGUUGAAAUGUUUGUGAUGAUGCAAUCUACCCGCGGCUAGACGGAAAGACCCCAUGAACCUUUACUGCAGCUUUGCAUUGAACUGUGAACCGAUUUGUGUAGGAUAGGUGGGAGGCAGAGAAGAGGCCACGCCAGUGGUCUUGGAGCCGACCUUGAAAUACCACCCUGAUUUGUUUGCGGUUCUAACCACGGACAGUGAUCCUGUCUUGGGACCGUGCAUGGUAGGCAGUUUGACUGGGGCGGUCUCCUCCUAAAGGGUAACGGAGGAGUACGAAGGUACGCUAGGUACGGUCGGAAAUCGUGCUGAUAGUGCAAUGGCAAAAGCGUGCUUGACUGCGAGAGCAACAACUCGAGCAGAUGCGAAAGCAGGUCAUAGUGAUCCGGUGGCUCUGAAUGGAAGGGCCAUCGCUCAACGGAUAAAAGGUACUCUGGGGAUAACAGGCUGAUACCGCCCAAGAGUUCAUAUCGACGGCGGUGUUUGGCACCUCGAUGUCGGCUCAUCUCAUCCUGGGGCUGUAGUCGGUCCCAAGGGUAUGGCUGUUCGCCAUUUAAAGAGGUACGUGAGCUGGGUUUAAAACGUCGUGAGACAGUUUGGUCCCUAUCUGCCGUGGGCGUUGGAAGAUUGACGGGGGCUGCUCCUAGUACGAGAGGACCGGAGUGGACGCACCUCUGGUGUACCGGUUGUCACGCCAGUGGCAUUGCCGGGUAGCUAAGUGCGGAAGAGAUAACCGCUGAAAGCAUCUAAGCGGGAAACUUGCCUGAAGAUGAGUCUUCCCGGAGGUAAAACCUCCCAAAAGAGUCGUUCUAGACCAGGACGUCGAUAGGUCAGGUGUGUAAGUGCUGUAAGGCAUUGAGCUAACUGAUACUAAUUGCUCGUGAGGCUUGAUCCU